GCGUAAGAGCGCGUAGGUGGUCUGUCACGUCUGCUGUGAAAGCCCUGGGCUCAACCCGGGAUCUGCAGUGGAUACUGGCCGACUAGAAUGUGGUAGAGGAUACCGGAAUUCCUGGUGUAGCAGUGAAAUGCGCAGAUAUCAGGAGGAACAUCCAUGGCGAAGGCAGCUACCUGGACCUUCAUUGACACUGAGGCACGAAAGCGUGGGGAGCAAACAGGAUUAGAUACCCUGGUAGUCCACGCCCUAAACGAUGCGAACUGGAUGUUGGGUGCAAUUUGC
RNAcentral lists this ribosomal RNA (279 nucleotides) under Stenotrophomonas maltophilia. Its description in RNAcentral is "partial 16S ribosomal RNA". It matches the Rfam family "Bacterial small subunit ribosomal RNA", at positions 563 to 837 of the family's 1533-position model. Lineage: Bacteria; Pseudomonadati; Pseudomonadota; Gammaproteobacteria; Lysobacterales; Lysobacteraceae. The record is from RNAcentral.